GACAGAGGAUGCAAGCGUUAUCCGGAAUGAUUGGGCGUAAAGCGUCUGUAGGUGGCUUUUUAAGUCUGCCGUCAAAUCCCAGGGCUUAACCCUGGACAGGCGGUGGAAACUACCAAGCUGGAGUACGGUAGGGGCAGGGGGAAUUUCCGGUGGAGCGGUGAAAUGCGUAGAUAUCAGGUGGAACACCGGAGGCGAAGGCGGAUAACUGGCUAGACACUGACACUGAGACCCGAAAGUGCGGGGAUCAAACAGG
Molecule: ribosomal RNA, 253 nt
Filed under: uncultured bacterium
Lineage: Bacteria
Description: partial 16S ribosomal RNA
Rfam family: Bacterial small subunit ribosomal RNA
Source: RNAcentral